Molecule: ribosomal RNA, 254 nt
Filed under: uncultured bacterium
Lineage: Bacteria
Description: partial 16S ribosomal RNA
Rfam family: Bacterial small subunit ribosomal RNA
Source: RNAcentral
UACGUAGGGGGCGAGCGUUGUCCGGAUUUAUUGGGCGUAAAGAGCUCGUAGGCGGCUUGGCAAGUCGGGUGUGAAACCUCCAGGCUUAACCUGGAGACGCCACUCGAUACUGCCAUGGCUAGAGUCCGGUAGGGGACCACGGAAUUCCUGGUGUAGCGGUGAAAUGCGCAGAUAUCAGGAGGAACACCGGUGGCGAAGGCGGUGGUCUGGGCCGGCACUGACGCUGAGGAGUGAAAGCGUGGGUAGCAAACAGG